RNAcentral lists this ribosomal RNA (496 nucleotides) under uncultured bacterium. RNAcentral describes it as "partial 16S ribosomal RNA". It matches the Rfam family "Bacterial small subunit ribosomal RNA", at positions 30 to 523 of the family's 1533-position model. The record is from RNAcentral.
AUUGAACGCUGGCGGAAUGCUUUACACAUGCAAGUCGAACGGUAGAGGGGGCAACCCCUCGAGAGUGGCGAACGGGUGAGUAAUAUAUCGGAACGUGCCCAGUCGUGGGGGAUAACGUAGCGAAAGUUACGCUAAUACCGCAUACGAUCUAAGGAUGAAAGCGGGGGAUCGCAAGACCCCGCGCGAUUGGAGCGGCCGAUAUCAGAUUAGGUAGUUGGUGGGGUAAAGGCUCACCAAGCCAACGAUCUGUAGCUGGUCUGAGAGGACGACCAGCAACACUGGAACUGAGACCCGGUACAGACUCCUACGGGAGGCAGCAGUGGGGAAUUUUGGACAAUGGACGCAAGUCUGAUCCAGCCAUUCCGCGUGCAGGAUGAAGGCCCUCGGGUUGUAAACUGCUUUUGUACGGAACGAAAAGGUCUCUCUUAAUACGGGGGGCUCAUGACGGUACCGUAAGAAUAAGCACCGGCUAACUACGUGCCAGCCGCCGCGGUAA